Molecule: long non-coding RNA, 1276 nt
Filed under: Anolis carolinensis (green anole)
Lineage: Eukaryota; Metazoa; Chordata; Lepidosauria; Squamata; Anolidae
Description: lncRNA (ENSACAG00000039921.1)
Source: RNAcentral
AUGUUUAAUAGGCUUAUCCUUAAUCCCUCCUUAUUAUCCAACAUAUUAUCCAACGUUCUGCCGGCCCGUUUAUGUUGGAUAAGUGAGACUCUACUGUACUGUAUUUACAAAUUUACCACUAAAAUAUCACAAUGAAUUUAAAACACUGACUACAAAAACAUUGAUUAUGAAAAGGCAGACUGCGUUGGAUAAUCCAGAACAUUGUAUAAGCGAAUGUUGGAUAAGUGAGAUUCUUCUUUAAUAUGAAAUAAUUACUGGGAUAGAAUAAUGCAGAACAAUAUAAUCUCUAAAACCAGGACAGUAAAUAAACAGGGGAAUUCCACACAGGAAACAAUCAGGGCCAGCUAACACCUCCCAACAAAGUAUUCCCAUCAUCAAAGUCUGGCAAAUCCUGUUUUCUCAGGGACACAGACAGUAGAAGCACAUAAAAUAUCGCAAACAACAUCACUCUGAAAACAAGGGUAUUCCAGACAGGAAACAAUCAGGGCCAGCUAACAUCUCCCAACAAAGUAUUCCCAUCAUCAAAGUCUGGAAAAUCCUCUGUUUUCUCAGGGCCACAGACAGUAGAAGCACAUAAAAUAUCGCAAACAACACCACUCUGAAAACAAGGGAAUUCCAGACAGGAAACAAUCAGGGCCAGCUAACACCUCCUAACAAAAAAUUCACUCAGGGAGGAAACAGCCAGGCUUUAAAGGUGCAAGGCCAUUACAUCCUAAUCAUUUUUCCUAAUUGCAGCAUUCAUACUUGCCUCCAACAAACAAAAAAACCAAUCAGAAAUAUUGUAUAUUCACAACCUUUAGGAAAUAAUAUCCCCUGAUGGCGCAGCGUGUUAAAGCGCUGAGCUGCUGAACUUCUGGACUGAAAGGCCGCAGGUUUGAAUUGGGGGAGCGGAGAGAGCCCCCACUGUUAGCUCCAGCUUCUGCCAACCCAGAAGUUCGAAAACAUGCAAAUGUGAGUGCAUCGAUAGGUACUGCUCCGGCGGGAAGGUAACGCCGCUCCAUGUAGUCAUCCCAUAUGACCUUGGAGGAGUCUACGGACAACGCCGGCUCUUUGGCUUAGAAAUGGAGAUGAGCACCAACCUCCAGAGUAAGACACGACUGGACUUAAUGUCUGGGGAAAACCUUUACCCUUGACCUUAACUACCACCAAUUCCUCAAUACUUUAUUUCCCAUACCACCAGACUUCGGCACAGCAACGCGUGGCCGGGCACAGCUAGUUAUUUUAAAAAGGGUUUGUUGUCAAAUGUGUAAUGCGAGGUGGUUGCGGCUAUGAAAAU